Pistacia vera is the source of this 428-nucleotide long non-coding RNA. RefSeq lists it as uncharacterized. The record is from RefSeq and is a predicted model, not a curated record. Lineage: Eukaryota; Viridiplantae; Streptophyta; Magnoliopsida; Sapindales; Anacardiaceae. The transcript has 3 exons.
GGAAAUUAUGCACUAUACAGAAUUGGAUCUGGUAAGAAAGGAUCAGGAUAUGACCUGUUUGGAGAAAAGGAGAAGGAGAAAAAUGAUUAUGAUUGGUUAAAGACACCACCAGCCACUCCAUUAUUUCCAUCCUUAGAAAUGGAAGCAACCGGUGCCCCGGAAAUUGUCAUUCAAAGGGAGUUACCAAUUGUUCAACCUCUUUCAAGGUUUGCAGGCAAUUCAGGAGCACAAAAGACAAGCAACAUCGGAAGGCCAAAGACUCCAAAACCUAAACCUAAAGUCCCUCAAAGAUCAAUAACCCCUAGUCAAAGACCAAGUACUCCAACUCAAACCAAAACCACCAAAGGAACAACAAUUACGAACCAAAAAACAACACCAUUAACUAUUGAUUUAAACAACAAAAAAACAAACAUGAACACCAACAAAAA